GUACAGGGUAGCCUAGUGGACAUGGCACCUGCCCGGUAAGCAGAAGGUUGUGGGUUCGAUUCCCGCCCCUGGACA
Molecule: non-coding RNA, 75 nt
Organism: Cordylochernes scorpioides
Lineage: Eukaryota; Metazoa; Arthropoda; Arachnida; Pseudoscorpiones; Chernetidae
Source: the annotation of a GenBank genome assembly